GAGGAUAUAGUUUAGUAGGUAGAGUGCUUGCCCAGCAUGCACGGAGCCCUGGGUUUGAUUCCCAGCACCACA
This 72-nucleotide transfer RNA is filed under the name Mus musculus (house mouse). Its description in RNAcentral is "tRNA-Ala". The record is from RNAcentral. Lineage: Eukaryota; Metazoa; Chordata; Mammalia; Rodentia; Muridae.